This 301-nucleotide ribosomal RNA is filed under the name uncultured bacterium. RNAcentral describes it as "partial 16S ribosomal RNA". It matches the Rfam family "Bacterial small subunit ribosomal RNA", at positions 509 to 807 of the family's 1533-position model. The record is from RNAcentral.
CAGCAGCCACGGGAAUACGGAGGGUGCAAGCGUUAAUCGGAAUUACUGGGCGUAAAGCGCACGCAGGCGGUCUGACAAGUCAGAUGUGAAAUCCCCGAGCUUAACCUGGGAACUGCAUUUGAAACUGUCAGGCUGGAGUCUUGUAGAGGGGGGUGGAAUUCCAGGUGUAGCGGUGAAAUGCGUAGAGAUCUGGAGGAAUACCGGUGGCGAAGGCGGCCCCCUGGACAAAGACUGACGCUCAGGUGCGAAAGCGUGGGGAGCAAACAGGAUUAGAGACCCCGGUAGUCCCUGUCUCUUAUAC